RNAcentral lists this unclassified non-coding RNA (606 nucleotides) under Hevea brasiliensis (rubber tree). Lineage: Eukaryota; Viridiplantae; Streptophyta; Magnoliopsida; Malpighiales; Euphorbiaceae. The record is from RNAcentral.
GGUUUAACAUGAGAGAAUGUUUUUAUGUUAAAAAAUGUGAAGUAGGAUUUUGCUGUACUUUAUGCCAUUUGGAACUUGACUCUAGCUUUGGAGUAACUACCUUUCCGGCUUUCACUGCCCUGAAGACAAGAACUGCAAAGUCCUUGAGAAGUUUGAUGGGGAGCUUGAAAGAAUUAAGAGAUUUCAUGUAGUAGCUGUAUCUUUUUGUGUGAAUUAUCUAGUUGCCACAUCUGAAUGUUAGAAUGCUAAUGUGCUCCAGAUCAUCUGUUCUUAAAACUUUAAUUACUGGUUGAGGAUUAGGAAGUCUUUAAUUAAGUUGUGUCAAUAGCACAUCUAAUCGAAACCCCUGCUUGAUAAGAGCUCAUUUAUUAAGUCUCUUGGUAAAUAAGCCAAAUUUGAGCUAGCCUUGGCUUAGUUACUUUAAGCUUUGUUAUUUGAAAACAGUGAUCAAACCUGAUGUUCAAGCUGGCUUACUAAGUAUGCAAAGCCUGAUAUAAAUUAUCACUGAGCUCAGCUUAUUUGCAGAGCCAUGUGUUAUCAGUGUGCAUUUUCUAUUAGUAAACUAAAGUCAAAACUGAUGCAGACUGUGGUUCUGGCAUUGGGAGA